GAUGAACGCUGGCGGCGUGCCAAUACAUGCCAGUCGAGCGAACAGACGAGGAGCUUGCUCCUCUGACGUUAGCGGCGGACGGGUGAGUAACACGUGGAUAACCUACCUAUAAGACUGGGAUAACUUCGGGAAACCGGAGCUAAUACCGGAUAAUAUAUUGAACCGCAUGGUUCAAUAGUGAAAGACGGUUUUGCUGUCACUUAUAGAUGGAUCCGCGCCGCAUUAGCUAGUUGGUAAGGUAACGGCUUACCAAGGCAACGAUGCGUAGCCGACCUGAGAGGGUGAUCGGCCACACUGGAACUGAGACACGGUCCAGACUCCUACGGGAGGCAGCAGUAGGGAAUCUUCCGCAAUGGGCGAAAGCUUGACGGAGCAACGCCGCGUGAGUGAUGAAGGUCUUCGGAUCGUAAAACUCUGUUAUUAGGGAAGAACAAAUGUGUAAGUAACUAUGCACGUCUUGACGGUACCUAAUCAGAAAGCCACGGCUAACUACGUG
This 496-nucleotide ribosomal RNA is filed under the name uncultured bacterium. RNAcentral describes it as "partial 16S ribosomal RNA". It matches the Rfam family "Bacterial small subunit ribosomal RNA", at positions 28 to 507 of the family's 1533-position model. The record is from RNAcentral.